RNAcentral lists this ribosomal RNA (207 nucleotides) under uncultured bacterium. RNAcentral's name for it is "partial 16S ribosomal RNA". It matches the Rfam family "Bacterial small subunit ribosomal RNA", at positions 568 to 774 of the family's 1533-position model. The record is from RNAcentral.
CGUGUAGCCGGGGAUACAAGUCAGGUGUGAAAUCUAUGGGCUUAACCCAUAAACUGCACUUGAAACUGUAUCUCUUGAGUGUCGGAGAGGUAGACGGAAUUCCUAGUGUAGCGGUGAAAUGCGUAGAUAUUAGGAGGAACACCAGUGGCGAAGGCGGUCUACUGGACGAUAACUGACGCUGAGGCGCGAAAGCGUGGGGAGCAAACA